CUGCGAGUUCGCGGGAGAGUAAGUUAUUGCCAGGGUUUUUGUUUUAUACUUUAAAUAUUGAUUUUAUUUUUUAUGUUUUUAGAUGUUCAUGUUUUUGAAUGUUUUAUUCAAAUAAUAUAAAAAAUAAAAUAUAUAUUGACAUGGAUUAAACAAAGAUAUAUAUUAUUCUAUGUUGUAUAAACAAAUUGGCAAAAUAGAGAUGGAAGAUAAAAAUAUGGUCAAAGUAAUAAGAGUCUAUGGUGAAUGCCUAGGA
This 253-nucleotide unclassified non-coding RNA is filed under the name Borreliella garinii. Its description in RNAcentral is "partial 5S-23S ribosomal RNA intergenic spacer". The record is from RNAcentral. Lineage: Bacteria; Pseudomonadati; Spirochaetota; Spirochaetia; Spirochaetales; Borreliaceae.